GUCAGCUCGUGUCGUGAGAUGUUGGGUUAAGUCCCGCAACGAGCGCAACCCUUAAGCUUAGUUGCCAUCAUUAAGUUGGGCACUCUAAGUUGACUGCCGGUGACAAACCGGAGGAAGGUGGGGAUGACGUCAAAUCAUCAUGCCCCUUAUGAUUUGGGCUACACACGUGCUACAAUGGACAAUACAAAGGGUAGCGAAACCGCGAGGUCAAGCAAAUCCCAUAAAGUUGUUCUCAGUUCGGAUUGUAGUCUGCAACUCGACUAUAUGAAGCUGGAAUCGCUAGUAAUCGUAGAUCAGCAUGCUACGGUGAAUACGUUCCCGGGUCUUGUACACACCGCCCGUCACACCACGAGAGUUUGUAACACCCGAAGCCGGUGGAGUAACCAUUUGGAGCUAGCCGUCGAAGGUGGGACAAAUGAUUGGGGUGAAGUCGUAACAAGGUAGCCGUAUCGGAAGGUGCGGCUGGAUCACCUCCUUUCUAAGGAUAUAUUCGGAAC
RNAcentral lists this ribosomal RNA (497 nucleotides) under Novosphingobium lindaniclasticum LE124. Its description in RNAcentral is "bacterial SSU rRNA". It matches the Rfam family "Bacterial small subunit ribosomal RNA", at positions 1054 to 1533 of the family's 1533-position model. The record is from RNAcentral. Lineage: Bacteria; Pseudomonadati; Pseudomonadota; Alphaproteobacteria; Sphingomonadales; Sphingomonadaceae.